RNAcentral lists this long non-coding RNA (1898 nucleotides) under Pelobates cultripes (western spadefoot toad). The record is from RNAcentral. Lineage: Eukaryota; Metazoa; Chordata; Amphibia; Anura; Pelobatidae.
GUUGAAUAUGUAACUGCUCUCUCUCAGGCUUUGACCAAAAUCCAUGCACAAGUGUUUUCUUCCAUUUCAGAUCCAGAUUCUGAUACGGGCAUCCACAAGCUACUUCCUGGUGAUUGGGUCCUGGUUAAGAGGUUCCUGAGGAAAAGCUCUCUUGAGCCAAGAUAUGAUGGUCCUUUCCAAGUCCUCCUGACCACAUCUACCUCAGUGAAAUUGGCUGGGAAAAAGACUUGUAUACACACUUCCCACUGCAAGAAAGUUCCAGCUCCAGAGGAAGCAGAUCUCGCUAAGUCAUGAGCUUCAUGUACCUUUUUCUGCUGCCUUAUAGAGGCCCAGCAAGUUGCUAUAACCAAAGAUAAUCAUGUUUACACAUUUUGGUAUAACGCCUCCAACACACAUGUAGAUACAUUUACUUUUGACUACUGUGAUAUUGUCACUUGUACCUUCCCACAAUCAUUGCUGUCAACAAUAUACAAAGAUAUACCUAGAAAAAAGGACCCAUACAUAUGUGUGACAGAUGACUAUUGGGGACAUGACUGUAGUUCCUGGAAGGCGGCAGGUUGGAAUACAGGAUUAACAUGGGGUUAUAAACCAUGAAGUGCCCUAAACAGAGUGGACAGGAAUGGGAAGUCUUUACUAUACAGAAUGACUUUACGGAAACCAACAGGGACAACUCCAAUGAAACUUACCUUAAAUAUAGAGCACCCUAGCCCUGGAGAUACUGGAGAAUACGUAAUGGGAAUGUACUGGAAAGGGGGGGUUCAUACAACAAAUUAGGGACUUUCUAUCUACAAGACAUGUACUAUUCACCUGAGUGGGUAGACAUACAACACAUGAUGGUUAACCUUCUCAAACCACACAUCAAGACCCUCAAAGACAUGGUAGCCAUAGCUAACCCCACAUUUGAAGACACUAUGGCAGUAGAAACAGGCUUCUCAGACACUAACCUAUGGCUUGAAUGGAUGAGAUAUAAUGCUAACUCUCAUAAUAAAACUAAUUGUUAUGCAUGUGGAGGAGCACGACCCCAUUUGGGUACUGUGCCCUUAGACUUACCCCCCGAGGUAGAAACUUGUUUUUUGAGUCUUUAUGUUUAUCAGAAAACUAAUUGGUCAGCAUGUGAGUCGUGGAAAAAAGGAAUAUCCCCUUAGUACCAGGAAUAUUUGGCCACCUGAAAGCGUUACUAUAUAUCCCGGGAAUUACACCUGCUACGCUAUACACAGUGGGCCAGGUACAUUUCUAGGAAAUUUCCCUAAAGGCUAUUGUGCUACAUACAGAACACCACCUCCAGUUGAUCUCUUAAUGAGGCAAGUCAGAUCACUGGGAGACAUAUGUUGGCUGUGUGGGGACAUGCAACUCAGAUCCAGAUUGGAAGGUCUCUGGUGGGGGGAAUGUGCCCUAGCUAAAGUUAUCAUGCCCAUACACAUAAUAUCAGAUAACCACCAAGGUCCUCUCGACACAACACAUGCCUAUUUCAGAGCCAAGAGGAGAACCUCUGUUAAAGGCAGUUUUGACCCACACAUAUAUAAAGAUGCCAUGGGAGUGCCUAUGGGGGUGCCAAAUGAAUUCAAAGCAAGAGACAAAGUUGCAGCAGGCUUUAAAUCCAUCGUUCCACUAAUCACUGCCAACAAGAAUUUGAAUUGGAUUAAUUACAUCUAUUAUAACCAACAGCGUUUUGUUAAUUAUACCAGAGAUGCCCUUCAAGGGCUGGCAGAGCAAUUACAAGCUACUUCCCAGAUAGGAUGGCCCUAGAUAUGAUUUUGGCAGAAAAAGGAGGAGUAUGUAAAAUACUUCCAGACACUAUGACAUGUUGAACCUUAAUCCACGAUAACACAGGCCCUAAUGGGAAGGUGACCCUGGCAAUAGAAAAAUUAGAAAGCCUCUCAGAAGAGUUAAAGGACCAC